This 253-nucleotide ribosomal RNA is filed under the name uncultured bacterium. Its description in RNAcentral is "partial 16S ribosomal RNA". It matches the Rfam family "Bacterial small subunit ribosomal RNA", at positions 524 to 776 of the family's 1533-position model. The record is from RNAcentral.
UACGGAGGGUGCAAGCGUUGUUCGGAAUCAUUGGGCGUAAAGCGCGUGUAGGCGGCUUGGCAAGUCAGUUGUGAAAGCCCGGGGCCCAACCCCGGAAUUGCAUCUGAAACUGCCUGGCUAGAGUCCCGGAGAGGAAGGCAGAAUUCCCGGUGUAGGGGUGAAAUCCGUAGAUAUUGGGAAGAACACCGGUGGCGAAGGCGGCGCUCUGGACCGAGACUGACGCUGAGGCGCGAAAGCGUGGGGAGCAAACAGG